This 496-nucleotide ribosomal RNA is filed under the name uncultured bacterium. RNAcentral's name for it is "partial 16S ribosomal RNA". It matches the Rfam family "Bacterial small subunit ribosomal RNA", at positions 28 to 507 of the family's 1533-position model. The record is from RNAcentral.
GAUGAACGCUGGCGGCGUGCCUAAUACAUGCAAGUCGAGCGCACAAACGAGGUGCUUGUACCAAUUCGAUUAGCAGCGGACGGGUGAGUAACGCGUGGGUAAUCUGCCUUUGAGCCGGGGAUAACAUCGGGAAACGAAUGCUAAUACCGCAUAAUAACUUUAACCACAAGAUUCAAGAGUGAAAGACGCUUUUGCAUCACCCAAUAGUUGUCCCCGGUUGUAUUAGCUAGUUGGUUAGGUAAAGGCCCACCAAGGCAUCGGUCCGUAGCCGACCUGGAAGGUUGACCGGCCACACUGGAACUGAGACACGGCCCAGACCCUUCCGGGAGGAAGCAGUGGGGAAUAUUGGCAAAUGGGCGAAAGCCGGACGGAGCAAGGCCGCGUGGGUGAUGAAGGUUUUCGGUCGUUAAACCCCUUUUGUUGGGAAAGAAGAAAGGGAGAAUGAAAAGCGCAUGUCUUGACGGUACCUAAACAGAAAGCCACGGCUAACUACGUG